ACGGGCGAGUACACGUACUUAACCUGCCCUCGAGCGAGGCAUAACUGUGGAGACGCAGCUAAUUCCUCAUACGAUCCAUAAAAUGAAAACAUAUGGAUGAAAGGUUACCACUCGAGGAGGGGGGUGCGGUCUAUCAGAUAGUUGGUGAGGUAACGGCUCACCAAGUCUAUGACGGAUAGCCGGUCUGAGAUGAUGUCCGGCCGCAAUGGGACUGAGACACGGCCCAUACUCCUACGGGAGGCAGCAGUGGGGAAUCUUGCGCAAUGGGCGAAAGCCUGACGCAGCGAUCCCGCGUGGAGGAUGACACCUUACGGGGCGUAAACUCCUUUUUUGGUGGAAGACGAAAGACGGUACACCAAGAAUAAAGGACGGCUAACUACGUGCCAGCAGCCGCGGUAAUACGUAGGUCCUAAGCGUUAUCCGGAUUUACUGGACGUAAAGCGUCUGUAGCUGGAAAAAUAAGUCUGUUUUCAAAUACUGUGGCUCAACCAUAGAAAGGGAAUGGAUACUGUCUUUCUAGAGGUUAUUAGAGGUUAGUGGAAUUUCCGGUGGAGCGGUGAAAUGUGUUGAUAUCGGAAGGAACGUCAAAAGCGAAAGCAGCUAACUAUAAUAAACCUGACGGUCAGAGACGAAAGCUUGGGUAGCAAACGGGAUUAGAUACCCCGGUAGUCCAAGCUGUAAAUUAUGCUUGCUAGAUGUUUUCUCCAUUUUGGAGGGAGUGUCGUAAUCUAACGAGUUAAGCAAGCCGCCUGGGUAGUAUAUACGCAAGUAUGAAACUCAAAGGGAUAGGCGGGGGAACACACAAGCAGUGGAUUGUCUAGAUUAAUUGGAUAAUAAGCCAAAAAUCUCACCUAAACUUGACAUGU
RNAcentral lists this ribosomal RNA (866 nucleotides) under uncultured organism. RNAcentral's name for it is "bacterial SSU rRNA". It matches the Rfam family "Bacterial small subunit ribosomal RNA", at positions 102 to 989 of the family's 1533-position model. The record is from RNAcentral.